RNAcentral lists this long non-coding RNA (1238 nucleotides) under Manacus vitellinus (golden-collared manakin). RNAcentral's name for it is "lncRNA (ENSMVIG00005008293.1)". The record is from RNAcentral. Lineage: Eukaryota; Metazoa; Chordata; Aves; Passeriformes; Pipridae.
GGGGACACAGAGGGGACACCCAGGGGACACGGAGGGGACACACAGGGGACACUCAGGGGACAGGGGUGUCCCCUGGCACUGGGGGACACGGGGACAGCAGGGGGGACACGCUGAGACACGCUGGGACACAGUGGGAUGUCCCGGGACAUGCCAGGACACACUGGGACAUACUGGGACACACUGGGAUGUCCUGGGACACACUGGGACGCACUGGGACAUACUGGGAUGUGCUGGGACAUGCUGGGAUGUGCUGGGACAUGCUGGGAUGUCCCAGGACACACUGGGACACACUGGGACAUACUGGGAUGUGCUGGGACACACUGGGAUGUGCUGGGACAUGCUGGGAUGUCCCAGGACACAGUGGGACGCACUGGGACAUACUGGGAUGUCCUGACACACACUGGGAUGUCCCGACACACACUGGGAUGUGCUGGGACACACUGGGAUGUCCCAGACACGCCCCAUCCCGUGUCCGUGUGGCUGCCGGGGCUGUGGUGGCCGUGGGGGUGUCACUGUCCCCUUGGGUGUCCCAGGGGGGUGCCCCCAGUGUCACUGUCCCAGGUGUCACAGCCCAGGGCAGUGUCCUCGGUGUCCCCAUGUCCCUGUCCUGGGCAGGUGUCCCCAGUACCCCAGGUGGGUGUCCCCUGUCCCUGUCCCCGGUGUCUCAGGACAGUGUCCCCGUGUCCCCCUGUCCCUGGGUGUCCCAGGGGGGUGUCCCCGUGUCCCUGUCCCAGGACAGUGUCCCCGUGUCCCAGGACAGUGUCCCCGUGGGUGUCCCCAUGUCCCAGGCAGUGUCCCCAUGGAUGUCCCUGUGUCCCUGUUCUGGGAGGUGUCCCCAUGUCCCAGGCAGUGUCCCUGUCCCAGGACAGUGUCCCUGUCCCAGGACAGUGUCCCCGUGUCCCCCUGGGUGUCCCCCUGGGUGUCCCCCUGGGUGUCCCCCUGGGUGUCCCUGUCCCAGGACAGUGUCCCCAUGUCCCAGGACAGUGUCCCCGUGGGUGUCCCCGGUGGUGUCCUCGUGUCGGGGGGUGGCCCUGUCCCUGUCCCUGGGCGGGCGCUACCUGGUGAAGAAGGGCAGGGGGUGGUGGCCCAGGGCCCCCCCCGGGCGGGGGGACUCUGUGCGGGCCAUCACGUCCUUGAACCAGGUGGCCACGUCCACCUCCAGCGUCUCGUAGCGCUUGAUGAAGGUGUGCUCCUGUGGGGACAGGGACAGGGGGACAGGGGGAUGAAGGUGUGCUCCU